This 634-nucleotide ribosomal RNA is filed under the name uncultured bacterium. RNAcentral describes it as "bacterial SSU rRNA". It matches the Rfam family "Bacterial small subunit ribosomal RNA", at positions 40 to 717 of the family's 1533-position model. The record is from RNAcentral.
CGGCAGUACGGCAGCUACCAUGCAGUCGAGCGAACCCUUCGGGGUUAGCGGCAGACGGGUGAGUAACGCGUGGGAACCUACCCAGUGGUACGGAAUAGCCCAGGGAAACUUGGGGUAAUACCGUAUACGCCCGAGAGGGGAAAGAUUUAUCGCCAUUGGAUGGGCCCGCGUCGGAUUAGCUAGUUGGUGGGGUAACGGCCUACCAAGGCGACGAUCCGUAGCUGGUCUGAGAGGAUGAUCAGCCACACUGGGACUGAGACACGGCCCAGACUCCUACGGGAGGCAGCAGUGGGGAAUCUUGGACAAUGGGCGAAAGCCUGAUCCAGCCAUGCCGCGUGAGUGACGAAGGUCUUCGGAUUGUAAAGCUCUUUUGGCGGGGAAGAUAAUGGCGGUACCCGCAGAAUAAGCCCCGGCUAACUUCGUGCCAGCAGCCGCGGUAAUACGAAGGGGGCUAGCGUUGUUCGGAAUCACUGGGCGUAAAGCGCACGUAGGCGGAUUUGCCAGUCAGGGGUGAAAUCCCGGGGCUCAACCUCGGAACUGCCUCUGAUACAGUAAGUCUAGAGUCCGGGAGAGGUGAGUGGAAUUCCUAGUGUAGAGGUGAAAUUCGUAGAUAUUAGGAGGAACACCAGUGGCG